RNAcentral lists this long non-coding RNA (35564 nucleotides) under Hordeum vulgare. RNAcentral describes it as "long non-coding RNA (HVUL_LNC006912)". The record is from RNAcentral. Lineage: Eukaryota; Viridiplantae; Streptophyta; Magnoliopsida; Poales; Poaceae.
ACAUCACAUGAAUUACAAUACAUCAUCCAUCGACUCCUCUACACAUAAAGGUUCAAGGCCCAACAAGUGCACCACAAAAUAGUUCUACAAGUGCAGGUGCACAGCAAAAGGGUCCAACAAGUGCACAGUCAAACAUCAACAUAGUUCUACAAAGAUUGGAUGAGAAGCACAAGUUUUUAUUGAUCACACAUGACAUCAAUGAGAAACGAAGCUUCUUGCACCCUCCUCCUGUCCUCGGCUUCUUCCGAGUGCUUCAGAUCAUCCUGGUAAUUCGAAUAAUCAAAUAUAAGAAAGCAUACAAAAUAUGAGCAAACGAAAGACAAAUGGUGAUUUUACAUUCAGAAGUGAGACAUAAAAGUUCAGAAGUGAGAACUAAUAAGUGAAGGAAAUUUAUGUUAGCAGGAUGGACGGCCCAAAGUUGAGCUGGAUUUUUAUUGGGAACAGUGCCAAAAUUUCCUUCACUUAUUAGUUCUCAUCAUUGCCUACAGGAGGUUACACAAGAUUCCUACCAAAAAAUGAUCAAUCACCUGACUGGAUGGGUUGUGCAACACACUUCAUGGGUGGCGCAGAGUCCUACCAUCAAAUUCUCUGCCAAUUCUUGUCGUGUGUGAAUGGCGCAUGCCAAUAAACAAUAACUUCUCUUAGUGAAGGUACAAAUAAAAUACAUGCAAAUCUUUUUUAGUCUAAUAUUUACGUCUCUAAAUAACUGUCUAUUCUGCUUCUAAUCACCAUGAUGACAAAAAUGCAUGCAAAGUGUGCGUGCACUUGGUACAGAAUAUUAUAAUGUACGACUGAUAGAUAAACUAGAACUAUUUCAUCAUCCAACAAUGGCUCUGAGUACAUGUAUGUUUGCAUGUAGGUGCAGUUUAAUAUAUGAUGCAAGAUUACACAUCGGAUCUAUGUAUCAUGAGAAUAUGUGGUUGACCUGGUGAACAUCGUAAGUUCUGACGGAAUAUGUACGUGUUGGACUAGCUCCUUAUGUGCUCUUAAUAUUAAGCUACUAAUUAAUCCAUACAAUAUCUCUCAUCAUCUGUUACAUAAAGUCAUCAAUAGGCGUAAAAGUUAUAUAAUUUCUCUCGUCUUCUGUUACAUAGAUGCAAGAUUAAGGUGUCAACACUAUGUAAAUAUGUUCUCUAACUACCAAAUUGUUGUUUCCAUGGCUGGCUGUACUCGACCGAUGCUACUCAAACAUAUCAAUUUAUGUAAUUCUGUCACAAAGGAGAUAUCCCCGGCCGACGCACAACCAUUUUAUUAAGCAUAAACAUAUUAAUUUAUUGUUGUGAUAUAUCAUUUUGUAUUAUUAUCAUCACUUGAUAAUAAUAAUAUCAUUAGGUCAUCAUGGAUAUAGUUUUCAUCAUGUGCAUCGGUGCAACAAGACAGUAAUGAGUUCGAUGUAUUGUAUUUCAAAUUUUCUUUUACUUAAUCUCAGCAUGAUUUAAUAAGGAAACUCAUUUUAGUCCCACAUGUGAAAUGCAAGAAGGCGGAAGAACUUAUUUUCUGCACUAUAGUUCAAAAAAAAUCAGAAGUUUGACAUGUGAAACACUCACAAAAAACUACUCUCCUAGAACAGAUGACAUCUUACCAAGGAACCUGUAGCAACGUUAGCACAAUUUAGUGUGGCACUGACACCGUCUCCAUUGAUAUGGCUAACACUCACCCACACUUAAUUGCUCCACCUCAUUAUAUAUGCACUAAUGUUUCUACAGAUAUAAAUAGAUGAAGUUCGUGAACAUCAUCUAUUUCAUACCGUCCUGAUGGUGACUUAUAAUAUUUCCUAUAUUUAUGGUAUCUUCGAUUAUUAUUUUGGAAGAUGGUAGCAUUAUUUAUCAGAUAAAUAUAGGGUUUGUGGUCGGUGGCGUAUAUACAUGAACAUAAAAGAGGCUGGAAUUGUGGAAGUCGAACAUACUUGCCACCGCGGUAGAGUGAGGUGCCAUGGGGCAGGUACUGGAAGGCCGCAGCCACCCGGCACCCACUCAUGCCCAAGCGGCACCCACUCAUGCCCAAGCCUUCUUUCUACUCAUCCUCUUCCUUUGCCCAAUAUGGAACUCCCGCCAUCGCCGCCUGCAAGAAAAAUAACCAUGGUUGGCAAUGUAUCAUAAAAAAUACCACGAUACAAACAAAACACAUUGUAAUUUCAUGGUGCAGCAAACCACACCCUUUGCUUCUAGUAAAGAUUACUCAUGAUGCUUAUUUUGAUACUAAAUUCCAAAGAGGAGGAUGGGGCUGCCAAGGACGUGAUUCUUAAGGCCAAAUUAUAAUUGUUGCAGUAGGUACCAGCAUCCACGUUCAAGGUCCUUUGCAUGCUGAAUGUUUGGCGUCUUUAGAGUGGUAGAACAUAUGGGCAUGUGCCAUGUUAUUCUUGAAACAGAUUGCCUAAAUCUCCAACAUGCCACUAUUAGUAAUGUGUUCAAUGAUGCUGCACUAGGGUUCUUAUUCCGUAAUGUCCAAUGUCUUCUCCCGCUCUUCCUAUCUCAUGCUGAAAUGCAUUAUAAGCAUAACUUUAACAAGUCAACUCAUGAGCUUGCUAGCUUGGGUGCUACGGAUAGGUCACCCAAGUGAACUUUAACAACAUGGUUCAUUAUUCAGAUAAGUUAAACUAAGUGCAGGUCACCCAAAACUGAAUUUCUUGCAAUCCAAACAAUACAAACAGCAGGGAGAUGGUUGCAUAGAUACAAAUCCAUGUGGUGGUAGCAAAAUUGACCAAUCUGGACCUCAUGUUCUCUCUGUUUGUGGUACUAACAAACUAAAUAAAAAAAUUGGGCUUGUUCAUACAAAUCCCUCUUGAAUUCCUUGACACAACCAUGAUUUUUAUCGAAUAUUCCUUAACAUCAUUAGUGAGCGGAGGAAGAUGCUACCUGCCGCAAUGGGUCGUCGUGGCCGUGCUUGAGCCCGGGCAAGAUCUCUUGGUCGCCCUAGGAGUAGAACCCACCUGCCCCUCGUUGAGCAGAGCAGGGCCGACGCCUUGAAAUCCUUUCCUUGACACAAUACUCACAUGCAUCAAGAGGAGAUGAAGUGGAUUUGUAGAAGAAUGAGAGAACAGGAGGAGGGAUUUGCACCCUCUAGGGUUUCGGGCGCUGGGAGGGAGGCUCCAUGCGUGAUGGGGAGAAGGAGCUUCGUCUAAAUGGGGUAGUGGUGGAGCUGUGUCGUUCAUGGUAUCGGGACAUGGGAGGAAGAAGCCUUCCCAUCCAUGACAUCCCGGUGCUCGAGCGGCGACAUUGUGCUGGAUCUAGGAGGGAGGCGAGACGAUGUGAGGAAGAGAGGGAGGGAUGUGACGAGGACGAGUGGAGGGACUCACCUGAGUCAACAGAACAACGCCAGUGAUGUGCUGGCCCAAACCCUAGCUGUUGGUCAGGGUUGCUCUUGGCCGCUGGAGGACACGCGCCCCAGAUCUGGCCCAAUGGGAGGAAGGAGCAUUGGGAGGGGCAUGGUAGUGUGCUGGGCGCCGCCGAAGGACGCCAAAAUCAGGCGAGAUCGGGCGCCACAGGUGGUGGCGGCGGCGAGGUGUGGUGCGGGGUAGAAGAAGAGAUGAGUAAGAUAGGAUCUCACGAUGAGUGGGAUUUCGCCCUUGCGGGCUGGGUCUUCUUUAUUUAUUGUUCGCGGGCUAUGAGAUUGAAAACCAAACGAAAUCAAUGGCGGGCUGACCCAAAACUCUGGGUGCCAAAGUGUGAGUACGACUUUACCUCACAAUUUUUUCUUCAUUAUUAUUUCUUUCUUCUCUUUUUCCCUAUAAAAAGCUACUAUUCCCAACUAUACUUUUCUGAUUCAAAAUUUUGUUCUCAAGAUUCAAAAAAUGUUCAUGCUUUCAAAAACCGUUCAUGGUCCCAAAUUUGUUUAGUAUUUUUCAAAAAAAAUCUUGGUUUUAAAAUUUGUUCUUGAGAUUAAAAAAUGUUCGCGCUUUAAAAAAUUGUUCGUGCAUUCAAUUUUUUCUCUAAUUUAAAAAACAUUCAUGUUGUCAAAAAAUGAUAGAGAAAUUCUACGUUUGUUCAUUUUGAUAAAAAAGGAAAAAAAGGAAAACAGGAAGAAAAACGAGCCAAAAAAGAAAUAAGAAAUAAGUAAAAAAGAAAAAAAGAAACAGAAAAAAGGAAAUGAUCCGAUUUUUGUAGACAAAAUAAUAGCUCGGCCGACCCAGUCGGGCGCCCCUGUGUGCGUGGGAGCGACCCCAUGCCGCACGUAGGAGUUCCCGUUGACUUGAUCUAGCAUUUUUGGUUCUAGGGUUCGUUUCUAAGUCACGGACUUGACCCAAUAUCUUUUCUUUUGUUGAUAAAAAAUGAACUUGGCCCAGGUUUUGCCCAAAGGAGACCCACUUUUGAACGCAUAUAUAGUUAAAAAAAUCAACUGUAACUACACCGUAUGCACGAUGAAUACCUACUAGUAGGUGGUUGGUGGAUGCGUGACAUGUCUUUUGAUUCGAGUCUUGUUGGUCCCCUUUUUAUCAAUUUUAACAACUGUAUCCCAUUGAUAACCACCAAACCCGCGUGUGAGUUAGCCCAUCAUAGUCGUGUGUGUGAUACUUAAAAUUGACAACUAUAUAAUGUAGACGAAAAAUUGACAACUAGGCACACACCUAGACAAAAUUACUGAGUUGUCAUCCUGUCACCCUCAUCAGAUUUCUAUGAUGAUAUAAUUUGGUCAUGGUUGACUUGAAAUAAGCUACUAUGCAUCAUUCAUAUUUUUAUGACCAUUCUAUGCAAUCAGAUAAUGACCUUUUUGCCCAAAAUUGUCAUGAUAUUAUAGGGUUUGGACCCAUCGACACUCUUCAUGACCAAUUUGUGAAUUUUGGUCAUGGGUCAAUGACCAAUUAAACCCCCGUCACUAAUUUUGGUCAUAAUUGACCGUAUUUCUUGUAGUGUAUAUUUCAUAUUUUCCAGAAAUAUUCUCCGUAAAUUUUCAGGACGUUCCGAGAACUUUCAUUUCUGCACAAAACAACACCAUGGCAAUUCUGCUGAAAACAGCGUCAGUCCACGUUAGUUCCAUAAACAUCAUGCAAAUUAGAGUCCAAAACAAGGGCAAAAGAGUUUGGAAUAGUAGAUACGAUGGAGACGUAUCAAAUAGCACCACGACCACCACCACCACACCCCCGUGCUCGAGAACUCAUCUACCUCUCCGCCCCCUCUUGCUGGAUCAAGAAGGUGGAGAUUGUCAUCGAGCUGUACGUGUGCGGAACGCGGAGGUGCCGUCCGUUCGUCACUUGAACGGGACGGAUCAUGGGACGGAUCGUGAGACGGUUCGUGGGACGGAUCGUGGGAGGGUUCGUGGGACAGCUCCUGAAGACAUACCACUACAUCAAUCACGUUUAUUAACGCUUCCGCUUAGCGAUCUACAAGGGUAUGUGGAUCUGAUCUCCCUCUCGUAGAUGAUCAUCACCAUGAUAGGUCUUCGUGUGUGUAGUAAAUUUUUUGUUUCCCAUGCAACGUUCCCCAACAUUGGCAUCAUGAGAUAGGUUCAUGCGUAGAUGAUAUUUCGAGUAGAACACAAAAGAGUUUGUGGGCAUUGAUGUUUGAUUUGCUGGCCUCCUUAGUCUUUUCUCGAUUCGGCGGUAUUGUUGGAUUGAAGCGGCCCGGACCAACCUUACUCGUACGCUUACGAGAGACUGGUUUCAUCGACUAACAUGCAACUUGUUGCAUAAAGAUAACUGGCGGGUGUCUAUUUCUUCAACUUUAGUUGAAUCGGAUUUGACCGACGCGGUCUUGGAGAACGUUAAAUAGCAAUUUGCAUAUCACCGUUGUGGCUUUGCGUAAGUAAGAUGCGAUCAUACUAGAUACCCAUAGCAGCCACGUAAAACAUGCAACAACAAAUUAGAGGACGUCUAACUUGUUUUUGCAGGGUAUGCAUUUGAUUUGAUAUGGCCAAAGACAUGAUAUGAUAUAUUGGAUGUAUGAGAUGAUCAUGUUGUAAUAGUUAAAUAUCGACUUGCACGUCGAUGCUACGGCAACCGGCAGGAGCCAUAGGGUUGUCUUUAAACUAACGUUUGUGCUUGCAGAUGCGUUUACUAUAUUGCUAGGUAGUAGCUUUAGUAGUAAUAGCAUAGAUAACACGACAACCUCGAUGGCGGCACAAUGAUGGAGAUCAUGAUGAUGGAAACCAUGGUGCGGCACCGGUGACGAUGAAGAUCAUGUCGGUGCUUUGGUGAUGGAGAUCAAGCAGCACAAGAUCAUGGCCAUAUCAUGCCACUUAUGAUUUCCAUGUGAUGUUAAUCCUUUUAUGCACCUUAUUUUGCUUAGAACGACGGUAGCAUUAUAAGGUGAUCCCUCACUAAAAUUUCAAGAUAACAUUGUGUUCUCCCCGACUGUGCACCAUUGCGAUAGUUCGUCGUUUCGAGACACCACAUGAAGAUCGGGUGUGAUAGACUCAACAUUCACAUACAACGGGUGCAAAAUAGUUGCAGACGCGGAACACUCGGGUUAAACUUGACGAGCCUAGCAUGUACAGACAUGGCCUCGGAACACAAGAGACCGAAAGGUUGAGCAUGACUCAUAUAGUUGAUAUGAUCAACAUCGAGAUGUUCACGAGUGAAACUAUACUCAACUCACGUGAUGAUCGGACUUGAGUUAAUGGAUUUUGAUCAUGCGCUACUCAAAUGACUAGAGGGAUGUCUAUUUUGAGUGGGAGUUAUUAGUAAUAUGAUUAAGUAAACUCAAUUAUCAUGAACAUAGUCAAAAGGUCUUUACAAAUUAUGUUGUAGCUUGCAUUGUAGCUCUACUGUUUUUGAUAGUGAAAAAUUAGUUGAAAGUUGAUAGUAGCAAUUAUGUGGACCGGGUCCAUAAACUAAGGAUUGUCCUCAUGGCUGCACAGAAGGCUAAUGUCCUUAAUGCACCGCUCGGUGUGCUGAACCUCGAGCGUCGUCUGUGGAUGUUGCGAACAUCUGACAUACAUGUUUUUGAUGACUACGUGAUAGUUCAGCGCGUAAUGCUUAACAGCUUAGAAUUGAGGUGCCAAAGACGUUUUGAACAUCACGGAACAUAUGAGAUGUUACAAGAGAUAAAAUUAGAAUUUCAUGCUCGUUCCCUGGUUGAGAGGUAUGAGACCUUCGACAAGAUUAUUUGUCUACAAAGUAAGGGAGAAAAGCUCAAUCGUUGAGCAUGUGCUCAGAUUGUCUGAGUGCUACAAUCGCUUGAUUCGAGUGGGAGUUAAUCUUCCAGAUGACAUAGUGAUGGUUCUUCAAAGUCACUGCCACCAAGCUACUAGAGCUUCGUGAUGAACUAUAACAUAUCAAGGAUACAUAUGAUGAUCCUUGAGCUAUUCGCAAUGUUUGACACUAUAAAAGUAGAAAUCAAAUAGGAUCAUGAAUUGUUGAUGGUUAGUAAAACCACUAGUUUCAAGAAGGGCAAGGGAAAGCAGGGGUACUUCAUGAAACGGCAAACCAGUUGCUGCUCUAGUGAAGAAACCCAAGGUUGAACCCAAACCCGAGACUAAGUGCUUCUGUUAUGAGGGGAACGGUCACUGAGGAGGAACUACCCUAGAUACUUGGUAGAUGAGAACGCUCGCAAAGUCGACAAAAGUAUAUUAGAUAUACCUGAUAUUGAUGUGUACCUUACUGGUACUCCUAGUAGCACUAGGGUAUUAGAUACCGGUUCAGUUGCUAAGUGUUAGUAAAUCGAAAUUAUAGCUACGUAUUAAAUGGAUACUAGCAAGGGUGAGGUGACGAUGUGUUUUCGAAGUAAUUCUAAGGUUGAUGUGAUCAAACAUCGCACGCUCCCUCUACCGUCGAGAUUAGUGUUAAACCUAAAUAAUUGUUAGUUGGUGUUUGCAUUGAGCAUGAACAUGAUUAGAUCGUGUUCAUUGCAAUAUGAUUAUUCAUUUAAAGAGAAUAAUGGUUAUUCUAUUUGCUUGAAUAAAUACCUUCAAUGGUUUAUUGAAUCUCGAUCGUAGUGAUACACAUGUUCAUAAUAUUGAUGCCAAAAGAUAAAAAGUAGUAAUGAUAGUACCACUUACUUGUGGCACUGCCGCUUGAGUCAUGUUGGUAUAAAAUGCAUGAAGAACCUCCAUGUUGAUGGAUCUUUGUACUCACUCAUUUUUGAAACGUUUGAGACAUGCAAACCGUACCUAUUGUUAUAAACACAUGAAGAAAGUCCAUGCAGAUGGUUCAUUUGGACUCACUUAAUUUUGAAUCACUUGAGACAUGCAAAUCAUACCACAUGGGCAAGAUGACUGAAGGCCUCGUUUUCCAGUGAGAUGGAACUAGAAAGUAACUUAUUGGAAGUAAUACAUUUGGAUGUAUGCAGUCCAAUGAGUGCUGAGGCAUUCAAUGGAUAUCGUUAUGUUCUUAUUUCACAAAUGAUUUGAUUAGAUACUAGUGUAUUUGCUUGAUGAAACACACGUCUGAAUUAUUCAAAGGUUCAAGUAGUUUCAGAGUGAAGUUGAAGAUCGUCGUGACAAGAGGGUAACAUGUCUACGAUAUUAUCAUAGAGAUGAAUAUCUGAGUUGCGAGUUUGGUACACAAUUAAGACAAAUGUGAAAAUUGUUUCACAUCUCAUGCCACCUAGAACACCAUAGUGUGAUGGUGUGUCCGAACGUCAUAGCCGCACCCUAUUUGAUAUGGUGCAUACCGUGAUGUCUCUUAUCUAAUACCACUAUCGUUUAUGGGUUAUGCAUUAGAGACAACCGCAUUCACUUUAAAUAGGGCACCACGCCUUUCUGUUGAGAUGACACCGUAUGAACUACGGUUUGGAGAAACCUAAGGUGUCGUUUCUUAAAAGUUUGGGGUUGCGAUGCUUAUGUGGAAAAGUUUCAGCGUGAUAAGCUCGAACCCAAAGCAGAUAAAAGCAUCUUCAUAGGACACCCAAAACAGUUGAGUAUAUCUCCUAUCUCAAAUCCGUAAGCAAAGUGUUUGUUUCUAGAGACGGGUCCUUUCUCGAGGAAAAGUUUCUCUCGAAAGAAUUGAGUGGAAGGGUGGUGGAACUUGAUGAGGUUAUUGAACCGUCACUUCAACCAGUGUGUAGCAGGGCGCAUGAACUUGUUCCUGUGGUGCCUACACCAAUUAAAGUGGAAACUGAUGAUAGUGAUCAUUAAGCUUCGGAUCAAAUUACUACAAAUCUCAUAGGUCGACAAGGUCGCCUACUCCUAUAGAGUGGUACGGUAACCCUGUCUUGGAGGUGAUCUUGUUGAACAACAAUGAACCAACGAGCUAUGGAGAAGCGAUGGUGGGCCCGGAUUCCGACAAAUGGGUGGAGGCCAUGAAAUCCGAGAGAGGAUCCAAGUAUGAAAACGAAGUGUAGACAUUCGAAGAACUACUUGAUGGUCGUCAGACUAUUAAGUACAGAUGGAUCUUUAAAAGGAAGACAGACGAUGAUGAUGAAAUGUCACCAUGAAGAAAAGCUCGACUUGUGGCAAAGUGUUUCCGACAAGUUCAAAGAGUUGAUUAUGGUAAGACUUUCUCACUCGUAACGAUGCUAAAAGUCUGUUGGAAUUAUGUCAGCAGUUGAUGCAUUAUUUAUGAAAUAUUGCGCAUAGGAUGUCAAAAUAUUGUUUCCUCGACGAUUUCCUUGACGAAAGGUUGUAUGUGAUAUAACGAGAAGGUUUUGUCGAUCCUAAGGAUGCUAACUAGUAUGCAAGCUCCAGCGAUCCUUCUAUGGACUGGUGCAAGCAUCUCGGAGUUGGAAUAUACACUUUUAUGAGAUGAUCAAAGCAUUUGGGUUUAUACAAGAUUUAUGAGAAACUUGUAUUUCCAAAGAAGUGAGUGAGAGCACUAUAGAAUUUCUGAUAAGUAUAUGUGGUUGACAUAUUGUUGAUCGGAAGUAAUGUAGAAUUUCUGGAAAGCAUAAAGGGUUUUUUGAAAGGUGUUUUUCAAAGGAAAACCUAGAUAGAGCUACUUGAACAUUGAGCAUCAAGAUCUAUAGAGAUAGAUCAAAACGCUAAAUAGAACUUUCAAUGAAAUGCAUGCCUUGACAAGUUUUUGAAGGAGUUCAAAAUAGAUCGAUAGAGAAGGAGUUCUUGGUUGUGUUGUAAGGUAUGAAUUUGAGUAAGACUCAAAGCCCAACCAAGGUAGAAGAAAGUGAAAGGACGAAAGUCGUCCCCUAUGCCUUAGCCGUAGGCUCUAAAGUAUGCCAUGUUGUGUACCGCACCUGAUGUGUGCCUUGCCAUGAGUCUGUCAAGGGGUACAAAGAGUGAUCCAGGAUUGAAUCACUGAACAGCGGUCGAAGUUAUCCUUAUUAACUAGUGGACUAAUGAAAAUUUCUAGAUUAUGGAGGUGAUUAAAGAGUUCUUCAUAAAGGAUUACGUCGAUGCAAGCUUUGACACUAAUCCUAAUAACUAUGAGUAGUAAACCAGGUUCGUAUAGUGGAGAAGUCAUUUGGAAUAUUUCCAAAUGGUGCAUGGUAGAAGCAUCUAUAGGAUGACAUAGAAAUUUGUAAAGCACACACGGAUCUGAAUGGUUCAGAACCAUUGAAUAAAAACCUCUCUCACAAGCAAGAUAUGAUCAAACCCCAGAACUGUAUGGGUGUUAGGUUCAUUGCAAUCACAUAGUGAUGUGAACUAGAUUAUUGACUCUUGUGCAAGUGGGAGACUCUUGGAAAUAUGCCCUAGAGGCAAUAAUAAAUUGUUUAUUAUUAUAUUUCCUUGUUCAUAAUAAUCGUUUAUUAUCCAUGCUAGAAUUGUAUUGAUCGGAAACUCAAUUACAUGUGUGGAUACAUUGACAACACACUGUCCCUAGUGAGCCUCUAGUUGACUAGAUCGUUGAUCAAAGAUGGACAACGUUUCCGGGCCAUAGACAAGUGUUGUCACUUGAUAACGGGAUCACAUCAUUGGGAGAAUGAUGUGAUGGACAAGACCCAAACUAUAAACGUAGCAUAUGAUCGUGUUAGUUUAUUGCUACUGUUUUCUGCAUGUCAAUGUAUCUGUUCCUAUGACCAUGAGAUCAUGCAACUCCCGGACACCGUAGGAAUACCUUGUGGGUUAUCAAACGUCGCAACGUAACUUGGUGACUCUAAAGGUGCUCUAUAGGUAUCUCCAAAGGUGUCUGUUGGGUUGGCAUGGAUCAAGACUGGGAUUUGUCACCCCGUGUGACGGAGAGGUAUCUCGGGGCCCACUCUACAAUACGACAUCACAACAAGCCUUGAAAUAAAUGUGACUAAGGAGUUAGUUACGGGAUCUUGUAUUACGGAGCAAGUAAAGAGACUUGCCGGUAACGAGAUUUAACUAGGUAUGGACAUACUGACGAUCGAAUCUCGGGCAAGUAACAUAUGAAGGACAAAGGGAAUAGUAUACGGGAUUAUAUGAAUCCUUGACAUAGAGGUUCAAACCGAUAGAGAUAUUCGUAGAAUAUGUAGGAGCCAAUAUGGACAUCCAUGUCCCGCUGUUUGUUAUUGACCGGAGAGUGUCUCAAGUCAUGUCUGCAUAGUUCUCGAACCCGAAGGGUCUGCACACUUAAGGUUCGGUGACAUUUUGGUAUAGUCGAGUUAUAUGUGUUGGUGACCGAAGGUUGUUCGGAGUCCCGGAUGAGAUCUAGUACGCCACGAGGAGCUCCGGAAUAGUCAGGAGGUAAAGAUUGAUAUAUAUGAACUCCUGUUUUGGUCACCGGAAAAAUUUCGGGCUCAUCGGUAGUGUACCGAGAGUGUUGGGAGGGGUGCCGGGGACCAUUGGGAGGGGUGUCACGCCCCAAGGGGCCUUAUGGGUUGUGGGAAGAGACGAACAAGCCCCUAGUGGGCUGGAAUAAUUUCCCACUAAGGCCCAUAAUGUUUGAGAAGGAAAAAACACAAGGUGGAAUGAGUUUCCAAGUGGGAAGGAAGAAUCCUACUCCAAAUAGGAUUGGAGGACUCCUCCUCUCCUCCUUGCGCAAGGGAAAAAAAAGGAAGCCCAAGGGUGCAACCCUCUCCCUCCUCUCCUCCUAUAUAUACUAAGGGUUUUGAGGGUUUUUGUGAUAGCCCGAGACCGAUGCCCUAGGAGAUUCCCCUCUUUUCCAUUGCUCGCGUGUGUUUAUUUUAAUUGUCACAUCAUCAUCGCAUCAUUCACAUCAUCUGCAUUGCAUGGGCACUCCGUUGCCGCCAAAUUUCAAAACUUGCAUCCGUUAUUAGUUCCCGGUUCUCUCCGCGUUCGUCGUUUCCCGUGUUGAGCCCGACCACACACGCACACGCCCUCGACAUCGUCAAAACCUUGUUUUUAAAAGUGUGUAUAAAACUAUCUCUGAUUGGGUUGAAACUUGGCGUGCGGUCUUAAUAUAAUAUAGGUAGGCCGCCUGCCAAAUUUCGUCGCAAUCGGAGUUAGUCUGGUACCCGAACGGUCGACCAUAGCGGCACCAUCUUCGGUUAUUCGUCGGACGAUUUUCAGUAUUUUAAAUCGGUUGCGCGCCGCACUACUUCCCUCUUAUCUCUGCCUAAGCCACUCUACACAGCCACUUAGCCGUCCCCGCAUGCGAGACCGUUUUAUUUCGAUCGUGCGGUUAAAACCAGGGCGAAAAACUGCUAAACCUAGCCCCCCCAUUGUUAUAAAAUGGACCUCCCAUGGCAUUUUUAGACAGCAAAUCCCCUCUUUCCUUGAUUUGCGUGCCUAACCCUAGCCACCACCCUCCUCUCUCCUCCCUCCAGCCGCCAGGCCCGCUUCGGCCCGUAGCAGGCCCUCCCAACCCGAAUCACCGCCACCGCCCUCGCCCCGAUAUGCAACCCCGUGCGCCCCUGCCUCCUCGCCGGAGCCCCGCCGAACCGCCGCUUCGCCCCGCGCAGGACGCCGACGAGCACAGGCCCGCGCUGCCCUCUCUUCCUUCCUCUCUUCUUCGGGCUCCUCUCGCUCAUCUCCCUCUCUCAUUCUUCUCCCUGUGGCAGGAGAUAGCCAUGGGAGUUCGUGAGCUCCUCCUUCACUAGAUAGCUCGAGCCAGGAGAUGUCGUCAUCGGGAAUGGAUAGAUCAGGCUGAUCCCAUUCAGAUCUGCUUCUCCUUCGCCCCUCUCCCUGACCUGCACUCGAGCCCCAUGGCGUUGCCGCCAUUGCUGCUGGCAGGGAGGAGUGCCAGCUCCUGGAGCGGCUGCCGCUCGCCCCCGAGCGUCGAUCGGCCUCCCAACGUGCCUGGGCCGAGUGCCCCUGAGGCCCAGCUCGGCCUCCACCCCCGGGCGAGCGCCCCUGGCCCACUCGCCCCGCCGGCCCAAGCCAGUUCCUCCGCCUCAUCCUACCUCUCGUAGAAUUUUAACCGUGUGUCGUAUCGCGAUGAUUUAAAUAUGUAACUUGAUUAGUUUUUCACGUAGAUUAUAAUUUUACAACUUGCAUGCAUGUUCGAAGUAGUUUGAGUUGUCGUAUGCCUAAAUUUGCAUGCUAUACUAAUAGGGGGUAAUCCCAUAUUUAAUUUUGUGCGUGUCCGGUUUGCUCGUUUCUCAUAGGUACAAUGCUCAUGUUAUUAGGGACCUUUUGCCAUGUAUUUUGGAGUAGUUAGUUGCAUUUUGCAUGUAGGUUCCGUCGCUAGUUUGUUAUAUCAUAUUUAGGACAUAUUCGUGCAUAUACGUGUGGCAUUAUUUUUAUUUUGUAACCCCUCAUGUUAUAUAUGUUUUCGGGGUAAAAUAAUCCUUAGAAUUAAACUGUGCAUUUAGUCUUAGCUUUUGAGCAAGUUAAUGCGUGUAAUAUUUUUCCUGUUGUUUGCUAGUUGUGAACCUGCUAGAAAAUAGAGACAAUUUGGAGAUGCUGAAAUAUUUGGACAUCAACGACAACGACAUCAACAACAAUAACAAUGAAGAAAACAACGACAAUGAUGAGAGGAGCGAGAACAUCGACAACAACAACAACAAAAACAACGAAAACAAUGACAAAAGAGAUAGCAACAAUAACAACAACAACAACAACAAAGACGACGACAACGACGACAACAACAAGAACAAAAACAAAAAAAAAACUAGAACAAUAACAAGGAAGACAACGACGACGACGACAAAAAUGUUUAAGUGUUGUUUGCUUGUUGUCAACAUGCUAGAAAAUAGAGCUGAUUUGGAGAUGCUGAAAUAUUUCUAUGUCUGAAAUCUAUUAUAUUUUGUUGCUGUCUUGCCAUGAGUUUAUCUGGUGAUCUCUAGCUCUUUUGAGGUUGGUGCAAUGGAGUUAGUUGUAGUCCUUAAGAUUCUCUAGCAUGUUGUGAAUUUUCAUUUCUUUUGGAGCCCUAUAGCAUAUAGUUUUGCAGCUGUCAAUAUGCCUUCAGAUCGAAAAAUGCACUGUCAAAACUAAUAUUUUCAGUAAGUCUGAUACUGUGUGUGAGAUGCCAUUUUCUGAGUUAUUGUCCUAGUGAUCCAUGCUUCCAUUCUAGAUGUUAUUAGUAGUAUGUUGUAGUGCAUCUUGAUCUCUACCGCCUCAUGUCUNUUGUGGGUUGUAGAAAAUGCUAUGUGGCUGAUUUUGGGAGAUUAUGUCUAUUUCUUGUGUAGCUUGUAUUUGUUGAACCGUUGCUCCGUUUUGAUCGUGUCCUAUAUGAGACUUGCUUAGAAUCUUGUGUAUUUUCAUAUUUUGUUGCUGACUUGUUGGUUUGGAAUGCUUGUGACUCUCGUUGCACCCAUAUUGCAUUCAUGCCAUCAUAUCUUACGGUGAUCAUAUCUUUUAAACCGUAGCUCCGUUGGAGAUGUUCUCUAUGUGUAAAUUGAUUGAAACGACGCGUAGAAUCAUGUGAACCUAUUUAUUUUGCUGUUUAACAAAUAUUUUAACGUGUUAGUUCAGAUCUAGACAGAAUUAUAAAUUAAUGUAUGGGGUCAUCUCGGAGAUGCUAUAUGUCGUUUCCGACCUCAUUUAAAAUGCCUAGAUGGGUAGCUUAAUUACGCUUCACCUCUUGCCAUGUUUAACAACAUUUAAUAUCGUCGUGUACCUAAUAGAGAGUGAACCAAAUAAUCUGUAUGUGGAGUUUCGUCAAUAUGCAACUCGUUGCAUAUUGAACUUCACUUAAUAUGUAGUGUUUGAUUGGAGUGAAUUGCCAUGUCACGCCUUGCAUUAGACUGAUCAUGCAUCAUUUGUGCUGUGCAUGUGUCCUGGUGAAUGUUUGUGUUGAUGCUUGUUUUCGGUUUGCUUCGUCUCGAUAGAGUUCCGCACGCGUGUCGAAAAGUGAGGAUCCGUACGACUACAUCGGUUCGUCUGCUUCACGGAGUCGUUCUUCUUCCAAGUGGGAUCUCAGGAAAGAUGACCAUUUCCCAGAUACCAUUACUAUCAUUGCCAUGCUAGUUUUAUCGUUACUAUCGCUAUGUCUCGAUACCUACCACAUGAUAAAUAUCAGCCUCCCAACAUUGCCAUGAAAACCUUCAACCUGUUCACAACCUAUCAAACCACUGAUUGGCUAUGUUACCUCUUGCUGAACCAUGUGUUAGCGUUGCUAGUUGCAGGUGCAAUUACUUCCAUGUGAUAAUAGGGGUUCCUUGUUAUAUCACCUUAUUAAUUACUAUUUAAUUUAAUGCACCUAUAUACUUGGUAAAAGGUGGAAGGCUCGACCUUUCUAGCCUGGUGUUUUGUUCCACCUUUGCCCCUUAGUUUCGGCUAGCUGUGUUAUGUUCCAUAAUUGAGCGCCCUAACACGAUCGGGGUUGUUAUGGAGACCCCCUUGAUAAUUCGACUUAGAUUAAAACUAGUCUGGCAAGGACCAGCUUUGGUACUAUAUUUGCCUAAUAACUAAUGGACCGCAUAGAGAGUAAUUAACCCGAGGAAACUUAAUCAACCCCCGGGCCAGUGCUCCACAUGAGUGUUGGUCCAACCUGAGCGAUGUCCGUCGCCCCCUGGUCACCCAGGGUUUAGCAAACCUGACGUCUAUCUCAUCCGUCGUGUCCCGAGAACGAGAUACGCUGCUCCUAUCGGGAUCGUCGGCACGUCGGGUGGCCUUGCUAGAUUAGUUUUACCUUCAAUGAAAUAUCUUGUGUAUUGGGAUUCCGGUGAGACUUUGGGUAAUCUCAGAGUUGAGGUUUUCCACUAAGGAGUCCGACGAGAUCGCGAGUUUCGUGAUCGAGGAUUUCUAUGCGGCUUGUGGUAAUUUGUGAUGGACUAGUUGGAGCAACCCUGCGGGGUUAAAUCUUUCGGAAAGCCGUGCCCGCGGUUAUGUGGCAACCUAGAAACUUUGUUUAACUCUGGUUCUAGAUAACUUGAAGUUAACUUAAUUAAAACAUGCCAACUGAGUGUGUAACCGUGACUGUCUCUUUCGCGAGUUCCUUGUCCGAUCGAGAACACGGUGGGGUUAUGUCUGACGUAAGUAGGUGUUCAGGAUCAUUCAUUUGAUCAUUAGUAGUUCACGUCCGCUAUGCGUAGAUCACCCCCCUCUUUAUUCUUGUACUCGUAAGUUAGCCACCUCACAUAUGCUUAGUCGCUUGCUCCAGCCUCACCACUUAACCAUACCUCACCUAUUAAGCUUUGCUAGUCUUGAUACAUUUGGAAAUGAGAUUGCCGAGUCCCCUGUGGCUCACGGAUUACUACAACACCAGUUGCAGGUACAGGUUAAGGUUACUUGACGCGAGCACGUUGAUUGAUCAUUUGGAGUUUCUUCUUCUUCUUCAUCGAUCUAGGAUGGGUUCCAGGCCGGCAGCCUGGGAUAGCAAGGAUGGACGUCGUUCUUUUCUCGUUUGUUUUUGUCCGUAGUCGGACCCUACUCUUCUUCGUGAUGUUUAUGUAAUGUACCGAUGAUACUUUGAUGUAGCUUCUGGCGAGUGUAAGCGAAUUCCAUAUAUCUCAUAUUUUCAGUACAUGUACUUGUAACGAUAUCCAUUCUUGCGAAACGACGAGAUGCGCUUCUAUCCCUCACGAGGCCCUCGUGCCAAAUUAAGGAUAGGAUCGCAUCUAGGGUAUUACAAGUUGGUAUCAGAGCAGUACCGACCUAGGAGCCCCCUUGAUUGAUCGAACUUGGCCGAGUCGAGUCUAGUGAAAAACUGCUUUGAGUCUAGUUAUAUAUCGAGGAGUAGGUUUCUUUUUUCUCCUCUUCUAUGCUAUGGUGAGGUUCACGACUUAGGAAUUUUAAUUCCACUCCUCUUCUUACUCAAAAAAAAUUUAGGAUCACAUGGAUAUUUUUGGAAUCUAUAUGAUGUCGAUGUGACGGAGUUCUGUCUUGGUGCCUCUUGUCUGACUUGAUUUCUUCCGGGAGUUGAGCUCCACGGGAUUCUUGAGCACAUCGUUAUCAUUCAGAUUUCUUAGUAUCCCAGGAUGAAAGAUGUUCGAAAUUGCUUCAAUAAUAGUAGUGGCGAGAGGAGUCCGGCUUCCCCAGUACUGGUGCAGAGAGUUCGGGAUGUAUCGCCAUACUUUGUAUCAUUGUGAUUACGAGUGUCUGAGAUAGAUUAAGUUCCGAGAUUCUGGUUAUGUGUUGAUAGAUGUGAUACACUGGACGGGUUAGUAUAGGAGUUGAGUGAUAUAUUACUCCUUGUAACCGUGGACCAGAUUGCAUGAACAGAAAUUUCCGGAGUUCUUAGGUGGGAAUUCAAGUAGUUACUUAUAGGACAAUCUUCCAACAAAUGCAUGAUGUUAGGUUGGGGUUCGACAUCUAGUGGAUUCGUUUGUUCAUGGUCGACUUACAUCAAUUCUCAUUGGGUCUUAAAGAGUCCUUGUAGCUUGCUACGACUCGGGGGUGCUUCGUAUGUCGUGUGCAUUGCCUUGCACAGGAUGGCUACUGUAAGGAUCGAGCCCAUGCAAUCCUAUCCAUGAAAAUAUUGGAUGAAAUAUCUCUCAGGGAUUUGUUCUGGCUUGUUUCAUAAGCCUCAUCCUUUGUUUUGUUGGAGUAUAGUAAUUCAAGUUUAUUCAAUGUCAAAUGGUGAUUUCAUAUCUUUCCAGGAGUUGUUCUCAUAUUUCUAUGGGAAUGCUCAUUAAUUAUGUUGCUCAAAUCAACUUGUAUUUUCAAUUUAUUGUCAACUAGAGUCGUCAUGUUAAUUCCUUUCCAACCGGUGUGCUUCUCUUUGUUGGAAUUAUGCCCUGGAGGCAAUAAUAAAUGUAUAGUUAGCCUGGCCAUAAGUAUGGAAGGAAGGUUCCAGAGUAAUCCAGGAGUGGAUCACUGGACAGCGGUCAAGAAUAUCCUGAAGUACCUGAAAAGGACUAAGGAGAUGUUUCUCGUGUAUGGAGGUGACGAAGAGCUCGCCGUAAAAGGUUACGUCGAUGCAAGCUUUGACACAGAUCCGGACGACUCUAAGUCGCAAACCGGAUACGUAUUUAUUCUUAAUGGGGGUGCAGUAAGCUGGUGCAGUUCCAAGCAAAGCAUCGUAGCAGAUUCUACAUGUGAAGCGGAGUACAUGGCUGCCUCGGAGGCGGCUAAGGAGGGUGUCUGGAUGAAGCAGUUCAUGACGGAUCUUGGAGUGGUGCCAAGUGCACUGGAUCCAAUAACCUUGUUCUGUGACAACACUGGUGCCAUUGCCUUAGCAAAGGAACCAAGGUUUCACAAGAAGACAGACACAUCAAACGACGCUUCAACCUCAUCCGCGACUACGUCGAGGAGGAGGACGUAAAUAUAUGCAAAGUGCACACGGAUCUGAAUGUAGCAGACCCACUGACUAAACCUCUUCCACGGCCAAAACAUGAUCGACACCAGAACUGUAUGGGUGUUAGAUUUAUUACUAUGUAAUUCACAUGGUGAUGUGAGGGCUAGAUUAUUGACUCUAGUGCAAGUGGGAGACUGUUGGAAUUAUGCCCUAGAGGCAAUAAUAAAUGUAUAGUUAUUAUUAUAAUUCCUGUAUCAAGAUAAUAUUUUAUUAUCCAUGCUAUAAUUGUAUUGAAUGAAGACUCAUUUACAUGUGUGGAUACAUAGACAAAACACCGUCCCUAGCAUGCCUCUAGUUGGCUAGCCAGUUGAUCAAUGAUAGUCAGUGUCUUCUGAUUAUGAACAAGGUGUUGUUGCUUGAUAACUGGAUCACGUCAUUGGGAGAAUCACGUGAUGGACUAGACCCAAACUAAUAGACGUAGCAUGUUGAUCGUGUCAUUUUGUUGCUACUGUUUACUGCGUGUCAAGUAUUUAUUCCUAUGACCAUGAGAUCAUAUAACUCACUGACACCGGAGGAAUGCUUUGUGUGUAUCAAACGUCGCAACGUAACUGGGUGACUAUAAAGAUGCUCUACAGGUAUCUCCGAAGGUGUUAGUUGAGUUAGUGUGGAUCAAGACUGGGAUUUGUCACUCCGUGUGACGGAGAGGUAUCUCGGGGCCCACUCGGUAAUGCAACAUCACACACAAGCCUUGCAAGCAAUGUAACUUAGUGUAAGUUGCGGGAUCUUGUAUUAUGGAACGAGUAAAGAGACUUGCCGGUAAACAAGAUUGAAAUAGGUAUGCGGAUACUGACGACCGAAUCUCGAGCAAGUAACAUACCGAAGGACAAAGGGAAUGACAUACGGGAUUAUACGAAUCCUUGGCACUGAGGUUCAAACGAUAAGAUCUUCGUAGAAUAUGUAGGAUCCAAUAUGGGCAUCCAGGUCCCGCUAUUGGAUAUUGACCGAGGACUCUCUCGGGUCAUGUCUGCAUAGUUCUCGAACCCGUAGGGUCUGCACACUUAAGGUUCGACGUUGUUUUAUGCGUAUUUGAGUUAUAUGGUUGGUUGCCGAAUGUUGUUCGGAGUCCCGGAUGAGAUCACGGACGUCACGAGGGUUUCCGGAAUGGUCCGGAAACGAAGAUUGAUACAUAGGAUGACCUCAUUUGAUUACCGGAAAGUUUUCGGAGUUACCGGGAAUGUACCGGGAAUGACGAAUGGGUUCCGGGAGUUCACCGGGGGGGGGGGCAACCCACCCCGGGGAAGCCCAUAGGCUAUGAGGGUGGCGCACCAGCCCGUAGUGGGCUGGUGGGACAGCCCAAGACGGGCCUAUGCGCCAAGGAUAAGAAAUCAAAGGAAAAGGAAAAAAAAGAGGGAAGAGGUGGGAAGGGAGGGGGACUCCCUCCCACCAAACCUAGUCCAACUCGGUUUGGGGGGGAGAGUCCUCCCCCUUGGCUCGGCCGACUCCUUGAGGGUCCUUGGACCCCAAGGCAAGGCCCCCUCCCUCCCACCUAUAUAUACGGAGGUUUUAGGGCUGAUUUGAGACGACUUUCUCAUGGCUGCCCGACCACAUACCUCCACGGUUUUUCCUCUAGAUCGCGUUUCUGCGGAGCUCGGGCGGAGCCCUGCUGAGACAAGGUCAUCACCAACCUCCGGAGCGUCGUCACGCUGCCGGAGAACUCUUCUACCUCUCCGUCUCUCUUGCUGGAUCAAGAAGGCCGAGAUCAUCGUCGAGCUGUACGUGUGCUGAACGCGGAGGUGUCGUCCGUUCGGUACUAGAUCGUGGGACUGAUCGCGGGAUUGUUCGCGGGGCGGAUCGAGGGACGUGAGGACGUUCCACUACAUCAACCGUGUUCUCUAACGCUUCUGCUGUACGAUCUACAAGGGUACGUAGAUCACUCAUCCCCUCCCGUAGAUGGACAUCACCAUGAUAGGUCUUCGUGCGCGUAGGAAAAUUUUUGUUUCCCAUGCGACGUUCCCCAACACUCUUGAGUGAAUUCUAUCCUCCCCAAUAGGUGCAAGAUCAAUCUCUCAUUUCUUUCCGGAGUCCAUCUCAUCUGUCCCAAGUGGUCUUUGUUUUCCCCGCCCUCCCGCCCUUUUCUUCAGUGAUUAGAUUAUCAUCCUAGUGCCUUCCUUUCAGUGUCGCUUCCGCUAUCUUUUCUUCCGUGUCCUAUCCGGUGAUUCAUUGUGAAGAUUCUCAGGAGCUUCGUGUUCAUCUUAUUCAAUUUUGUUAUGUUUUUCGGUGAAAUCAGUUCAAGCUAUCCGUGUUCAUCAUAUCCUUUUCGUCCUUGUAAUUCUUUCCCAUGUUGGAAAUUCUUGUUUAGCCCCUCUUGUUAUUCUUCCAUCUCUGUUCUAGCCGGAAUGUUGAAGAUGUCUCAGAAGUUUCUUGUUUUCAAUUUUUUCAAUUCUUUCGAGGGCCUCACCUCAUCUAGUUUUCAUUUGUACCGGUGCAAUAUCUCUCUUUAUGAGCAACCUUUUCAACGGUGGUUUCUUGAGUGGGCCCAUAACCCACAGGCUUUUCCCAGGAUCUUAUCUGGCUCUUGUAAUAUUUUCCGGAGAUCUCUAAUUCUUUUCAAACAUGACGUAAGAAUGAUUUCCAUCAGUCAUAUCCCUUCUCUGAGAUCUACUCGAAUUAAUUCUCAUAUUUGUCUCAACCUUUCAUUCUUCAUUAUUCCGAAGUGUCUUGGUAGUUCUUGGUGGUGUUCUUCUCAUCAUUAUCUCCAUUGAAGAUUGAAGGAGUGUUUCUGUCAAAUCUUGGUCCAUUCUCUUGGAGAUUCAUCAUUUCAGCUUUGUGGCAUCAUCUUGAUUUGUUCCAAUCAUGUGUAAUUCCUUUCUUGCUAUUCGGUGCUUUUUCGUGUUGUUUUCAUUCUUGAUCCUCCGAAGGCCAUCAUUUUAGAAGAUUCUUCAUUCUCAGCUUUCAGCUUUCAUACUCAAUUCUUCUCAAUUGUUGUCUCUUCGUUCGUCUCUCAAUUAUUCCGGUGCCUCAUUCAAGUUUUUUUAGGUGGCUCGUGAUCUUUUCGUAUCUCCAUUCAUUCUGGUUAUAUCCCCAUUCAAUCCAAUUCUUAUAGGUGUCUCCUCAAGACUUCUUCAAGUUUGUGCUCAUAUAUCUCCUCAAUCAUUUCUAUAAGAAUAAUUGGUAUGCUAAAUCCGUUGCUUGUCAUCAAUUAAACUUGAUGAAGGAUAAGCAUAAGAUAAUUCUUAUUUUUGUUCAUAGUGAUCUGAAUUCUUCUUCCGGAGUGGCUCAUGAUAUCAAUUCUUUAUCUCAAGGUGUUCUUCAAGAUUCUUGUGGUAGUAGUUUUCAUUUUCUUCUUCGUUCCUUCUUUCCAAGAUCUAAUUUCUAUUCUUUCUAAUGGAGGCUUCGUGAUGUUGCUCUCUUCAAUCUAUCAUUUUGGUCUUUUCAAGAUCAUGUUAUUCCCUUGGUCAAUUUAGUUAGUUUGUUGUGAAUCUUCUCAAGUUCUUUCUAUCUUAUCGAAUUUUUGUCCCCUUGUCCUGCCGAAGUGCUGCCGAUAUUUUUUGUGAAUUCUUGCUUGUUUCUCAUGUCAUUCUUCAUCUCUUUGCAACCUUCAAGGAUCGCUGGUUUCACUCGUUUGUCAAAGAAGAAACUGAGUUUUACAUCUUGCUUUCUCAUCCUCUUCCCCUUUCAUUCUUGGAUCUCGGAUCGAGAUCCUCUUGUAGUGUAGGAGAGUUGUGACAGCCCGAGACCGACGCCCCAGAAGAUUCCCCUCUUUUCCAUUGCUGGCGUGUGUUUAUUUUAAUUAUUGCAUCAUCAUCGCAUCAUUCACAUCAUAUGCAUUGCAUCAGCAAUCUGUUGCCGCCAGUUUUCAAAACUUGCAUCCGUUAUUAGUUGCCGGUUCUCUCCUCGUUCGUCGUUGCCCGUGUUGAGCCCGACCACACACGCACGCGCCCGCAGCAUCGUCAAAACCUUGGUUUUAAAAGUGUGUAUAAAAAUUCCUCUGAUUGGGUUUAAACUUAGCGUGCGGUCUUAAUAUAAUAUAGGUAGGCUGCCUGCAAAAUUUCGUCGCAAUUGGAGUCCGUCUAGUACCCGAACGGUCGACCGUAGCGGCACCGUCUUCGGUUAUUCGUCGGAUGAUUUUCGGUAUUUUAAAUCGGUUGCCGCACCUCACUACUUCCCUAUUAUCUCUGCCUAAGCCACUCUACACAGCCAGUAGCCGUCCUCGUGUGCGAUACCGUUCAAUUCCGAUCGCGCGGUUGAAACCGGGGCGAAAAACUGCUAAACCUAGCGCCCCCAUUGUUAUAAAAUGGACCUCGCAUGCCAUUUUUAGACAGCAAACCCCCUCUUUCCUCGAUUUUCGUGCCUAACCCUAGCAUCCACCCUCCUCUCUCCUCCCUCCAGCCGCCAGGCCCGCUUCAGUCCGCAACAGGCCCUCCCGGCCCGAAUCGCCGCCGCCGCCCUCAUCCCGAUCUGCAGCCCCGUGCGCCCCUGCCUACUCACCGGAGCCCCGCCGAACCGCCGCGUCGCCCCGCCCAGGACACCGAUGAGGACAGGCCCGCGCUGCCCUCUCUUCCUUCCUCUUUUCUUCAGGCUCCUCUCGCUCAUCUCCCUCUCUCGUUCUUCUCCCUCUGGCAGGAGAUAGCCAUGGGAGUUCGUAAGCUCCUCCUUCGCUGGAUAGCUCGAGCCAGGAGAUGUCGUCAUCAGGAAUGGAUAGAUCAAGCAGAUCCUGUUCAGAUCUGCUCCUCCUUCGCCCCUCUCCCUGACCUGCACUGGAGCACCAUGGCGUUGCCGCCAUUGCUGCUUGCAGGGAGGAGUGCGAGCUCCUGGAGCGGCUGCCGCUCGCCCCCAACCGUCGACCGGCCUCCCAGCGCGGCGGGCCGAGUGCCCCUGAGGCCCAGCUCGGCCUCCACCCCCGCGCCAGCGCCCGUGGCCCACUCGACCCGCCGGCCCAAGCCAGUUCCUCCGCCUCGGCCUGCCUCUCCUCCGACCGGGCCUUUUCCCAUCAGGUGAGCGCCCGAAGCCCUUUGUCAAGCGCCCCAGCGUAUUUUAGUUAAAUGUCGCAUGCCCCUAUUAGGCCUGUGUAGCAUCACAUUUCGGCCCAUUUAGUUUUAUUUCGGUCCGUCCGAAUUAUUAAUUUUAGGAAAAUAGGCAUAUUUCAAACGCUCGUAGAAUUUUAACCGUGUGUCGGAUCGCGAUGAUUUAAAUAUGUAACUUGAUUAGUUUUUCGCGUAGAUUGUAAUUUUAUAAUUUGCAUGCAUGUUCGAAGUAGUUUGACUUGCCGUAUGCCUACAUUUGCGUGCUAUCCUAAUAGGGCAUCAUCCCGUAUUUAAUUUUGUGCGUGACCGGUUUGCUCGUUUCUCAUAGGUAAAAUGCUCAUGUUAUUAGGGACCUUUUGCCAAGUAUUUUAGAGUAGUUGGUUGCAUUUUGCAUGUAGGUUCCGUUGCUAGUUUGUUAUAUCAUGUUUAGGACAUAUUCGCGCAUAUACGUGUGGCGUUAUUUUUAUUUUGCAACCCCUCAUGUUAUAUAUGUUUUUGGGAUAAAUAAUCCAUCGAAUUUAAGUAUGCAUUUAUUUUUAGCUUUUGAGCAAGUUAGUGCACGUGAUACUUUGCCAUGAUGCCCUUUUGUUUAUUUUGUGGGAUUUAUUCCGUGCAUGAUAUGAAUGAGUUGUCAACUAGAGAUAUACCAUUGGAUGUGUAGGCUAGCCUCUGGUAAUUUUGGUUGCAAUAGAAAUCCAUGUUUAGGUGUUGUUUGCUUGUUGUCAACAUGCUAGAAAAUAGAGCUGAUUUGGAGAUGCUGAAAUAUUUUAAGUCUGAAAUCUGUUAUAUUUUGUUGUUGUCUUGCCAUGAGUUUAUGUGGUGAUCUGUAGCUCUUUUGAGGUUGGUGCAAUGGAGUUAGUUGUAGUCCUUAAGAUUCUCUAGCAUGUUGUGAAUUUUCAUGUAAUUUGGAGACCUGUAGCAUAUAGUUUUGCUGCUGUCAACAUGCCUUCAGAUCGAUAACUGCACGGUCAAAACUGAUAUUUUCAAUAAGUCUGAAACUCUGUGUGAGAUGCCAUUUUGUGAGUUCUUUUCCUAGUAAUCCAUGCUUCUAUGCUAGAAGUUAUUAGUAGUAUGUUGUAUUGCAUCUUGACCUCUACCGCCUCAUGUCUNNNNNNNNNNNNNNNNNNNNNNNNNNNUUGUGGGUUGUAGAAAAUACUAUGUGGCGGAUUUUGACAGAUUAUGUAUAUUUCUUGUGUAGCUUGUGUUUGUUGAACCGUUGCUCCGUUUUGAUCGUGUCCUAUAUGAUACUUGCUUAGAAUAUUGUGUAGUUUCAUAUUUUGUUGCUGCCUUCUUGGUUUGGAAUGCUUGUGACUGUCGUUGCACCCAUAUUGCAUUCAUGCCAUCAUAUCUUGCGGUGAUCAUAUCUUUUGAACUGUAGCUCUGUUGGAGAUGUUCUCUAUGUGUAAAUUGAUUGAAACGACACGUAGAAUCAUCUGAACCUAUUUAUUUUGCUAUUUCACAAAUAUUUUAACGUGUUAGUUCAGAUCUGGACAGAAUUAUAAAUUAACGUAUGGGGUCAUCUCUGAGAUGCUAUAUGUCGUUUCCGACCUCAUUUAAAAUGCCUAUAUGGGUAGCUUAAUUACGCUUCACCUCUUUCCAUGUUUAACAACAUUUAAUAUUGCCGUGUACCUAAUCGAGAGUGAACUAAUAAUCCGUAUGUGGAGUUUCGUCAAUAUGCAACUCGUUGCAUAUUGAACUUCACUUAAUAUGUAGUGUUUGAUUGGAAUGAAUUGCCAUGUCAUGCAGUGCAUUAGACCGCUCAUGCAUCAUUUGUGUUGUGCAUGUGCCGUGGUGAAUAUCUGUGUUGAUGCUUGUUUCUGGUUUGCUUCGUGUCGAUAGAGUUCCGCACGCGUGUCGAAAAGUGUGGAUCCGCACGACUACAUCGGUUCGUCUGCUUCAUGGAGUCGUUCUUCUUCCAAGCGGGAUCUCAGGCAAGAUGACCAUUUCCCCAAAUACCACUACUACCAUUGCCAUGCUAGUGUUAUCGUUUCUAUCGCUAUGUCUCGAUGCCUACCACAUGAUAAAUAUCAGCCUCCCAACAUUGCCAUCAAAACCUUCAGCCUAUUCACAACCUAGCAAACCACUGAUUGGCUAUGUUACCGCUUGAUGAACCAUGUGUUAGAGUUGCUAGUUGCAGGUGCAAUUGCCUCCAUGUGGUAACAUGGGUUCCUUGUUAUAUCACCUUAUCAAUUGCUAGUUAAUUUAAUGCACCUAUAUACUUGGUAAAAGUUGGAAGGCUCGGCCUUUCUAGCCUGGUGUUUUAUCCCACCUUUGCCCCCUUAGUUUCGGCUACCGGUGUUAUGUUCCAUAGUCGAGCGCUCCUAACACGAUUAAAACUCGUCUUAGAUUAUGGGGACCCCCUUGAUAAUUCGUCUUAGAUUAAAACACGUCUGGCAAGGCCCAACUUUGGUACUGCAUUUGCCUAAUAACUAAUGAACCACAUAGGGAGUAAUUAACCCGAGGAAACUUAAUCAACCCUCGGGCCAGUACUCCGCAUGAGUGUUGGUCCAUCCUAAGCGAUGUACGGCGCCCCCUGGUCACCUAGGGUUUAGCCAACCCGACGUCUAGCUCAUCCGUCGUGUCCUGAGAACGAGAUAUGCGGCUCCUAUCGGGAUUAUCGACACAUCGGGCGGCCUUGCUAGAUUAGUUUUACCUUUGCCGAAAUAUCUUGUGCAUCGGGAUUCUGGUGAGACUUUGGUAAUCUCAGAGUUGAGGUUUUCCACUAAGGAGUCCGACGAGAUCGUGAGUUUCGUGAUCGAGGAUUUCUAUGCGGCUUGUGGUAAUUUGUGAUGGACUAGUUGGAGCACCCCUGCAGGGUUAAAUCUUUCGGAAAGUCAUGCCCGCGGUUACGUGGCAACCUGGAAACUUUAUUUAACACUCGUUCUAGAUAACUUGAAGUUAACUUAAUUAAAACAUGCCAACUGAGUGUGUAACCGUGAAUGUAUCUUUCGCGAGUUCCUUCUCCGAUCGAGGACACGGUGGGGUUAUGUCUGACGUAAGUAGGUGUUCAGGAUCAUUCAUUUGAUCAUCAGUAGUUCACGUUUGCUAUGCGUAGAGCACCCCCCUAUUUAUUCUUGGACUCGUAAGUUAGCCACCUCACAUAUGCUUAGUCGCUUGCUGCAGCCUCACCACUUAAACAUACCUCACCUAUUAAGCUUUGCUAGUCUUGAUACAUUUGGAAAUGAGAUUGCUGAGUCCCCUGUGGCUCACAGAUUACUACAACACCAGUUGCAGGUACAUGUAAAGGUUACUUGACGCGAGCGCGUUGAUUGUUCAUUUGGAGUUUCUUCUUCUUCUUCGUCGAUCUAGGAUGGGUUCCAGUCCGGCAGCCUGGGAUAACAAGGAUGGACGUCGUUCUUUUCUCGUUUGUUUUCGUCUGUAGUUGGACCCUGCUCUUCUUCGUGAUAUUUAUGUAAUGUACUGAUGAUACUCUGAUGUAGCUUGUGGAGAGUGUAAGCCAAUUCCAUAUAUCUCAUCUUUUCAGUACAUGUAGUUGUAACGAUAUCCAUUCUUGCAAAACGACGAGAUGCGCUUCUAUCCCUGACGAGGCCCUUGUGCCAAAUUAAGGAUAGGAUCGCAUCUAGGGCGUUACAGUUUUAGACACAAGAUAAAAUAGCCUCGUGCUGCCCUCUCUCCAGAUCUGUUUCUCCUCUAGUUUCAGCGGUGCUUAGGCGAAGCCCUGUUGGAAUAGCACCACCACCACCACCACCACCACGCCGCCGUGCACGAGAACUCAUCUACCUCUCCGCCCCCUCUUGCUGGAUCAAGAAGGUGGAGAUCGUCAUCGAGCUGUACGUGUGCGGAACGCGGAGGUGUCGUCCAUUCGGCGCUUGAUGUGGACGAAUCAUGGGACGGAUCGUGAGACGGUUCAUGGGACGGAUCGUGGGACGGUUCGUGGGACGGAUCAUGAAGACGUACUACUACAUCAACUGCGUUUAUUAACGCUUCCGCUUAGCGAUCUACAAGGGUAUGUGGAUCCAAUCUCCCUCUCGUAGAUGAUCAUCACCAUGAUAGGUCUUCCUGUGCGUAGGAAUUUUUUUCCCAUGCAACGUUCUCCAACAGUAUCAGUGAUGCACAAGAACCUCACAAGUGUCCCGAGUUAGGCGACAAACGACCUAGCACCUGGCCUUGUCUUGGGCCCGUGGAGGGGCUCCACUGUGCAGAUCAGGCAGGCUUGCAUCUUGCCGGGGCUCGACCGAGUCGUUGCACAUGGGAGGUGGCGGCGGAGCUCCAUGGGCCACGUCUCCCGCACAAGACGGAGGGGGGGGGGGCGAAGCAAGCUGUCCCACCCUGUUUUUACUACUACAUUCUUUGUAAUGCAAAAAUAUGAACUUGUUGAAUUUUUUUCAAAACUAAUGAUGUGAGUGCCAUGAUUGUUGUUGUAUGCUUGUGUGUGUGAUCAUGUGAUGGCAAAAACCCCAUUUCACAAUAUUGAAUUGUUUCUAGAAACCUUUACUUGAUUCUGAUCAAGUUAAAACCCUACUUUGAGUUGCACUACUUGUCCUUGAUGGCAAGGUUGGUUUCUACCCAAAGUUGAUGAUCUGAUUUUUAACUUAAUAGUACAAAUGCACGUGCACUGGACAAGAAAAAAAGUACCCAACCUGCUUGUUGUGCCAUUAUGCGACAUUAAUUGUAAUAAAUGUGUAUAAUAAUGUUAAUUGUUUUCUUUUAAAACAUUAGGUACUACUUACAUAAAAAUUGUAUGAUAUUUUCAAUAAUAUAUAUUUUUUAUUAAAUUUUAAAUUUCUUGUAAAAGAUAAUUUUUUAAACAUUUUGUUCAAAAUGAUCCUUUUAUUGUCUGGUAAUAAUCUUUUGUUUUCUGUUGGGAAAUGGCAUUUGUGUGUAAUACAUAUUUUUCAUAAAUAUUUUUUUGAUAAAUAUUUUUUUAUUGUUUUUUGCACAACUUGCUUCAUGUGUCAUUGUGCAUCAUUUUUUAUAUGGAUUUUAAUAAUUUUCGACGAUAACGUUAAAUGAUAAAUUGUUUUACAAAAUUUAUGUAUGCAUAAUAUUUUUAAUACUUUUUAAGAAGUAUUAUUUUUAUGAAUUUUCAGAUUUGGUUUGACAAGGAACCUUUUUUUAAUAAUUUUAUUUCUUUAACAUUUUAUGAAUUUUGGGAAGCCCGUGAUGUAGGACCAGAUUGCUUUACCCUCUUUAAUAUUAAGAGUCCUUUUAGUAAAAUAUGAGGGUUGUGUUGUUAAAAAAUAGUACCUAGUUCACUACGGGCAUAUUCUAAUGCAACUUCUGGGCCAUUGUCAUGUAUGGGAUCGAUAGAAAGAGUAGGAUGAACCAUAAAAAUGAUGUGGUAGCAUAUCAUUUGAAAUUAAAUCUUACAAUAACCUGUGCACUUCAACCAUAACAUUUCUUUUAUGUAAUACAUACGACAUCUAAUUCAUGUAUAAAAAUUACAUCUUACAUUGUUUACGUUGGUAUCAUCGAGUGUUACCUGUGGCAUAUCCGAGAACAGAACUUCCUCGGCCCCCACCUGAGUUCUAUCAGACUCCUUUGACAGCUGCACACGCACACACAAGAGAGACAUUAAAACCAAUUAUCCUACACUUCAAAAUAAACUGGUACUACACAGUCACACUGGCAACCUGUUAUUCAAGAUGACACCUUUAAACACUUGGGUGACAAUAGGAAUUAGGAAAUGAUUGAUACAAUAACAUGGUCCAGCACUACAAUUAGAAUUUCAUUCAUUGACUGACCAUGAUGAAGUCGACACACGUCAUGUGUUCAGUGAUGCAUACAAUUUUGCUCUGGCUAUAUUACUGUAUCAAUGCUAUUCACCAAAACAUAGUCAUUAAAUGGUCAUGCUUUUUCUUUAGAAACUUUGUGUCGCACUUACAGGUCCACGGUCAUUCAAAGUAAGUGCAGUUUCAUGUUUGCAUUUCCUUCUAAAAACUAGAAGAGAGCAUCACCUAAUAAUACUUGAACCAAACAUGAAUGACAAGUUUGUCAAGUGGAUUAAAUUUUAAGGGGCAAAUAAUUUCAGAUUUAGCGAGCAAACAAAUAACAAAUCAACGAACUAUCAAUUUUGUGACUAAAUAAUCGAAGGAGAUUUCAUAAUCCUAAUAGUAGUCUGCCAAUAGCCAGCAGCCUACUACGCCUGAAACCACUCACUUCCUCCCUGUAAAGCUCUACACACAUGAACACAUAGGCAGAUCGAGUGGCACACACCCAUGCUUCCUCCCUGUAAUAGAUGGGAAUACAAAAGCGGGAGCUUUAUGGUGGCCAUGAUUGCUGUUAUGAAUCUAGUUUGUAGGCUACAAAAACAAUGCCUUGCCCAAGUUGUUGAGCACCGGAUGCCAACAAAUCUUGGCCUACCUGCAGCCAAACUUGGACGCCAAAUUUACUAAUACUGCCUGACCCACAAGCUGCUUUCCAAUCAGGGAAUUGUAAAUAUGCAUGUGUUGCGGCCCUCGCGUAUUGCGUUGUGUACUCUAUUUGUGUAAUAAUCAGUUAUAGUGACAAAAGCAGAAUCAGAAGCAAGGAGCACAACAAAGACACCAAACAUUCACAGAGCUAUCAUACUUCAGGCCCUUCUAAUUCAGAGAUGAACUUCUAAAACAAAAAUCAAACAUGAGUGGGAUACAUACCUCUGACAAAGUUGGAGGCAUUGGAGUACUGGAUGGAUGAUCUUCUAUCUCCGGCCAAGUCUGCACUUCUUUCUCCGGUGAAAUCGGCGGAUUCAUUAGUUUCACUGACUAACUCGGCGGCCACAUUAGUUAAAUCGACAAUUGUGCUGAUGAAGAUUUCGGCCGAGGUGGUCUACUUCUUAUAGCAGCUAACAAAAGAUGAAAACUUGUUCUGUGUUGGUCGUAUUGUAAGCAAUGUGUGCAGAGGAAGUGUCCAUGUCAUUCAAGCCAAGCUCCUCAUUCUGCUCCCAACUCCUCUCAUAUUCUUCAACUGCCAUUCAUAGUGAUAAAUAGAUCGAAUAAGCCAUAAUUGCAGUUAGUUAUGUGCAUUGUUUACUAAUAUAAGAGCGUUUAGAUCACUACUUAAGUGAUCUAAAUGCUCUUAUUUUAGUUUAUAGAGGGAGUAAUUAGUAUGACUCCAUAGAACUACAAUAACAAGCUUCAUGGUUUAUUGAAAAACUUCAACAGAUCAUUCAUACUUAUUAAAAUGGCAAUGCAUGAAUGUCCCUUCAUUGGUUUGAAUAAUACAUGACGCUACGUACAGUUCAUUGAUUAGGCUAACUUACAUGAUGCUGCGUACAAUUCAUUGAUUAGGCUAACUUACUGAGUAGAUGAAUGUCAUCUUCUAUCAAAUCUGUGGCUGCAGCGACAAACGAAGCCGCUAACGCAUCACCAAUAAUUAAGGUCCAAGGCUCUUGUAAACUCAGGAGCUGAAAUUAUACAUUGUGUAAAUGUUAUUGAAAUAGGUAUAUCAUAUUAAUUCACAAUUAAUUAGCCCAAUCACGCCCGUCCACUGAAAAUAAUCAGCAAUUUUCUAACCAGACCUCCCACCAAGUUUAGCAUGGACCGAGGUUAGGACAAAACAAAACAAGCAGGAAGUACCCAAUACAUCAUGAACAAGGAAGUUACCAUUUUUUACUUCAUGCUAUAAAGAAAGAAACUCAAGACACUCAAGAACUGAGAUGCUAUGGAAGGAAAAGCAUAGCCAUAAUCUUCUCCAGAUUGGAGGUGAAGCAGUCCGUGCUAAAAUAGAUAGAACAUUCCAGCUAAAAUAAACUGGUACCUUUGAUAAUCUUUGCUGGAAAUCAUCCCAUUUCUUUUUCUUCCAUUCAUUUAUGCUAUCACCCAAUUGGAAUCCAUGAACCCGCUCCAGAGCUCAACCCCAAAAUAGAACUUAGCAUUUGAGUUUGAGAAGAAUAACAAUUAAAUCUAUUCAGGUGUAUUUCAUAUCGAUACAAGUUGCAUAAGCUAUGUUGAACAAACAAGUUUCCACGUCGUUGAAAAAAGUACUUCCUGUACAGAACAGUUAGAUGCAUAAGCAUAACAGCUGGAACUGAGAUACAUGAGCAACACAUGUUUCAAUGAUAAUAGUGUAGAACUGUUGACAAAACCUCAAGAGGGUAUACACAUAUUAUGAGAGAAAUAUCGACCAGAGUGGUUUCAAGACACUUCCAUCUCAUAACAUUAAGAAAGAAAGAAAGGGCAUUGUAUCCAAUGUUUCCAAUUCCUCCAAGGCGCUCCUGCGGACGCCCCUAUGAGGCAACCCGUCGUCGCUGAAGGUGAAGCUCGCAUCCGGCGUCCCCUCGUACUUCCCUGCAUGCCGAAGCCACAACAGAGGAAUAAAUAAUUUCUUUAGCAAACAUGGCCCCAGAAACCAAAAUUCAGAACCCGCACAAGACGAAUCGAGACAUGUGGAGACGGCGCCCUUCUUGAGGUCCACGACGAAGAUCUCGUCAACACCCAUCUUCUGUAAUCAGAUCGAAGCCCCGAGGGCACAAAGCUUCAUGCAGAUUCCAUGGGGGAAAAAGAGAGAGGGGGGAUGCCAUACGUACCUUGGGCGAGAUGUUCAGAUGGUAGACGAAGCCGACCUUGUUGGCGAUCUCCUUCCCGGCGUCGGUGGCGAGGUGGCAUGGCGCCCUGUGGGACGAAGGACGCAUCCCCUGAAGCCAGUCGUCGCUGCCCCUCCGGAUCUCCUCCACCCGUGGCUCCGGUGACCGUCCGUUGCCAUGUUAGGGCCUCAUCCGGCUGCCUCCCCCGUGGUCAAUCUCCAUCGCCUCCUCUCAGCUCCUCCGUUUUUUCGCUGAAGCCACUCGUCGCCCCGUCGCGGCUAGAAAGAGGAUAAGAUCAAGCGAAGGAUCAUGACUGAAAAUUUUACAGAUGCAAGGGCUUUCUUGCAAAUCUGAAACGUUUUUCCACAUAUCCACUUAAUCAUGGACUCCGGGUUGAAUGCUCACAAACGGAGGGACUUUUUCGCAAAAAAGCCAUGACGGAUGACCAGAAACAGUAUUUGCUUUAUUAUUAGGGAGAGAUUGUAGUAAUUCAAAACCACAAAAUAAUUGUUUUUAAAACUGUUUUCCUUAUUUAAUUGCAUGUCUAUUUCUGAGGCUAGAAAUAGUAUUCCUUCAUGGAAAAAUAUAUUUCUGCCUUAGGAAAAUCUAAUUAAAUUUGGUGAUGAACAGAAGGACAUAUAUUUUCCAAACAUAAGAUUUUAACCCUAUUUUAUAAUAUAAUUAUUGUAAUAAAACCCUGGAAACCAUUUCUGUCUAUUUUGACCUUUUGAAUUAUUUCCAAAGGAAAUAUUCUCAAUAAAAUCCUAGAAAAUUCAAGUGGUAUCCCUAAGCCAUAUUUGUUGUCCAUAUAAAGUUUCACCUUGAUCCAAGGUGAUUAAGGACCAAAUAACCCUAAAACCCCUUUUGUCCAGAUUGAAGUUAGAGCAACUCUACAUAACAAAGUUGUCCAAUGAUGCUGAAACCUUGCACGGGUGCCUAAAACCUCAAAUGAGGGUUCCACACCAAAAUUGGGAUUUGUGGGACUUAGUUUGCCCACACUCUCUUUGGAAGGGACAUAUCUGGUCAUAUAUAUAGGUUUUUUCAAGUUUACAAAGUUAAACUUGUCCCAUGGAGCUCAAACUUGGUGAAACCCCAUGUUUUAGCACCAAACCCAAACCUAUUAAAUUGCAGCACCAGUGGUGGGGUGCAACCCCCUCAAACCACUGUCGAGCACCUUCUGACAGAUGGGAAAAAAGCCCUCUUAGCCAAAGCUAAACCCAACCCCUUUGCUCCAAACUCAUAGACUAGUUGGCCAGUAUCAAUACCCAACCCCACUCAACUGGCCCCUCACUGGUUCAAAGUGGAAAGCCCAAAAACCCCAAUUUAAGCUUCAGUUCAAAGCUGACAGCACCAGUAUUUCUUGUCUCCCUUGACCAGCCAAAGCUCCCACGACACCCAAACGGCUAGCCACACUCCCUGCCAGUGCUAGGACAUGCUAGACACGUCCAAAGUGCCUCAGAGCGCACCAGCAUGACGUGGCAUGCCAAAACUGUGCUCUAGGCGCGCUACAGGAAUCCAUUGAGGUGGGGGCGACGCUCUCGGCCAGUUCCAGCCUCCCCCGAGGUGUCCAACCUCUUCCCCGACAACCCCUCUGCGUCGAGCAACCAUCAGGGCCCCUCCUCUCCCGCGCUAGAGCUCGUGCGACGCGUGCCCCCGCGCACCAGAACCGGCCAAGGUUGCGCGACCACGGAUGCUCGACUCCUCCCUCUCUCCCUCUGUAGCAGAUUCUUCUGGCAGCCCAAAACCAUGUCCUGAGACCGUGGUUUCGACCACAACCCCUCUCUGCACCCCCAUGCGCGCCAAAGUGAGUCACUGGCGCUCCCGAAUCAUCUCACCGUCACGGGCCUAUUUAUAGCCCUCCCCCUCGCUCUAGCACCCCUCAAACAACUUCACCACGACCACCAGCACCUCCCUAGCCACCCCAACAAGCUAGCAGAGCCCCGGUGCUCGAGAUCAACGGAGGCCCCUCCGCCUCGGAGCUACGGUUGAUCUACGGCUACACGUCGGCUCCUGCUUUCCCCGACCUAUCAAACUGAUCCCCUCGACCUCAGGAAGCUUUCCCCCAACUUUCCCGAGCAUUUCCGUGCCCUAGCUACCUCCUCGACCACCUCCCGAAACUCCUCCGCCGCGGCCUUCUCGUCGCCUGCAAACCCCUGCCUCUCCGUCGCUGUUCCGACCACCAGCAGGUAGGCGGCAUCAUGCCGAACCCAUUCCUGUCCUUACACUACAAGAAAUAAGGUCAAUUAUGACUGCCUACAUUGGUCAUUGAUUCGUCAUUGUUGUUGUUUAUUGACCUUUUUUUGACCAAAUUAACAAGGUCAACAGUUGGCCGUCAAGAAUGAACAAACUUGACCUUUCUAAAAUUUUGGUUAUAGAGCUCUAUUGACCAAAAUUUUGGUUUGGUCAUUACUCAUUUGUGUGAGCCACGUAGGAUCUGACGUGGUUGUGUUGACAUGGCAUUGCUAGUGACCAAAUGAAAUCAUCAUAAAUUUCACAGCCCAAUUCAAUAAUCUUGUCUACAUGGGCCUUCACCAAUACUAUUUUAUUAUUAAAAAUGUCUAAAUUGUUUAGGAUGAUGCAUUAUUUUCCCAAAAGCAUGUAUAUCUCAAGAUAGGCCCAUUAAAAACAAGUACAAAAGAAAAAAGAUUGCAAAUUAGUUGUAUAUAUUUCAUUUCAGUAACACAUCACAUGAAUUACAAUACAUCAUCAAUCGACUCCUCUACACAUAAAGGUUCAAGGCCCAACAAGUGCACAACAAAAUAGUUCUGCAAGUGCAGGUGCAUAGCAAAAGGGCCCAACAAGUGCAUAAUCACACAUCAACAUAGUUCGACAAAGAUUGAAUGAGAAGCACAAGAUUUUGUUGAUCACACAUAACAUCAAUCAUAAACAAGUUUCUUGUUCCCUCCUCCUGACCUGUCCUCUACUUCUUCUGGGUGCUUCAGAUAAUCCUGGUAAUUCAAAUAAUCAAACAUAAGAAAGCAUACAAAAUAACCAGUGGUAGUGUAUUGAGCUCUGACUACGCGUAUGUUUGCAUGUACUAGAGGCUGGGGCGCCACCUAGAAGUUACACUGUCCAGAUUAGCACCAUACUUAAUAGAAGCUGCCAAAUGCAAGUAUUUUAACAGUUAACUAUCCAGGUCAAUAACAAGAAUACAAACGCCAGAAAUAAUAUUUGAUAGGCAGUUUCCUAUCAAGUUUAUACAUUGUAAGGUAACACUACAGUUCUUUUUAAAAAUUAAAAAUAGCAAUUCAAAAUCAACUGAUAACGAUGGCCUGUGCCCCAACCUAGAAAUAUCCAUGGCGUCAAUGGCCAGCAUACAAGUUACCGUAGCACGAUGGCUGCGGACACCACAUAGAGCAGAAGAGAAACCACAGGAGAGGAAGCAGGUGGCUUACCAACGCUAUAGUAGGAGAAAAAGCGGACAUCGCAAGUGCGGGGGGAGCCGCUCCUGCGCUAGCGGUAGCAAAAACAGUCGGGUCCCAGCAACAUGCGUACUGGUUUGAGUACCAACAUAAAGACUCCCCCUGGUUUGAGUAGCCUACAAUAUGAAGAUACCACUCAUAAGAAUGUAGGAAUGCUGAACUUAACAAUAUAUUGGUGCACAGGAGACUGUAAGUGAUGCUUCAAUGGGGUAAAGUAUUAAGAACCUGUCCACUUCCAGAACCAUCUAAAACUUCUACCUACAGACUUCUAAAAAGAUAUCCAUUACGUAUAUUUGUAUAUUGGAGGUUAUACUGGUUACCGGUUUGCAGAGUGUUUUCAA